Molecule: RNA transcript, 1973 nt
Organism: Papilio machaon (common yellow swallowtail)
Lineage: Eukaryota; Metazoa; Arthropoda; Insecta; Lepidoptera; Papilionidae
Exons: 8
Source: RefSeq, a predicted model, not a curated record
GUUGACGUAUUUUGAUGUUUAACCCAAGAGAUUGAUUGAUUAUUUUGAUGUUUAGUUUAAAAAAAUUGACGUUUGAGCAAUAUUUUUUCAAUACGCACAAAUUAAAGAAAAAGUGCACAAAAUAAUAGAAAAUGGAAAUGGAAGUAUUCGUGGACGUAAAACAACAAUUUUACAUAUUUUUUUAAUAAAACAACCAAGUGGAUUUGUAUGGCAUAUAGAAAAACGAAAUAUGUUUAAAAUUGAAAAUAUACAAAGAUAUAUUCAACAGUAACUUUAUAUUGCUACUAUUUCUAAAACACAGUUCAUGCAGUGGUUAACUAUUUUAUUGCAUUACCGAAUUUUGGUAUUAGCUAAUAUUAUAAACUCUUGGUCGUAAAUCCUAAACUUCAAUCAAUAAAUCAAUCUUGAUACUGAUAUACUGAAGCCAAAGUCGGGCACUUGAAGCGUUUUUACUCCAACAUGGAUUGGUCAACAUGUUCACCGGAUAUCAUUUUAUUGAUAUUUAAAUACUUGGAUCACAAAUCGCUUGUGAAUUGUCUCUCUGUAUGCAAGUCAUGGAGAGAUGUAGCGGAUUAUCAUGCAGAGGUUAAAGGAAUAUGGCCUGAGCUAGCACAACUGGCCAUGUACAAUAAAGGUUUUGCAUUUAAACAGAGGUCUAUUCUUCCUUGGCGAGACCUGUACUUUAAUAACCAGCUCUGGAACAAUAGGAAUGUUCAUUUUCAAGUUGAUAAAAUUAUGGAAUUGGUUCAAUGUAAGCACAUGCAUGUGUUUGAAGAUAAUAUAAUUAUUAUUGUUGAUUCUGGUAUGAUACAAUACAAAGUUGAUACAUUGGAACAAAUUUUGGAAGAAAAGUGUGUUUUAGACUAUCAAAAAACUCAUUGUAUAAUAGGAAAAUUGGCUGAGGGAAAUAUAUUGUCUGUAAAAAUGGGAAAUAUACAAAAAGAUUUUUGUAUUAUUUGCCAUAGUUUCAUAUUAAUAAAUGAUCACUGUUUAGCAAUAGAGGCGGGUAAUAUAUUCACCGUUAUACGAUGCUGUUCUUCUAUGCCAAUUGAUAAAUCAAUUAGAUUUAAAAAAGCAGCCUCACUGCAUCUCUACAGUGCCCUUGGAACUAUCCGUAGCGCAAACGUUGAUAAUGAUAUUAUUUACGUGGUAAAUAAAGAAGGGAGAAUUUUAAAGUUAAAGGAUAUGGAUUUCUUAGGUAAAACAUUGGGCAAAAUAAGUUUUCCGCGCAACGAUAGCCCACUAGUUGUGUGCAUGUUUCUAAAUUUCAGUGUGAUUUAUAGUGAUUAGUAGACGAUCGUUGUUUUACAAUAGAUCUACAUAAUGUAUUAAGUUUGAUUAAAAUGGAUGGAAAUAAUGUAAUGCAUUUUACAUUAAUGCGAAGCUAUGAUCCCUUGGGAUCGAUUUGUAGCAUAAAUAUUUAUAACGAUGAAGUUUACGUUUUGAAACGGAAGGGGAUUAUAAUACGAGUGGACUUUUGGUUCUUCACAGAGACAACUAUAGGCAAAAUAAAUUCACCACAUUUUUAUAAUAAUCCUUUAGCGAUGUGCUUGUUUCUAAAGCAUAGUGUUAUUUAUAGUGUUCGCAGUGAGGACGGAUCAAAAACAGUGAAAGUGUCAAAUAUCGGAGACACCGGAGAAAUAAUUGUAGAAUGUUCUGGACUGAGUUGCGUUACACCGCACGGUGAUAUACUGCUUUUAGGAUAUGAAGAUGGCGAGGUUCGUGCUUAUUUACCAAAGAAAAUGUUGAUUACAAAGGAACCACUUUUUACAUUUAACAUCAAGGAUCUCGUUAUGUCUACUCUUAAGGAUGCUGCUAUAAAAGCAAUAGAGGUUUAUGAAGCGAAAGAAUCGCAUUAUUUGUUUAUAGCGACACGACACGAAUUCAUCAAAGUGAUUGUUACUUAUGACAAUUAAUGAAAAAAGUUGAAGUAUCUAGUCCAUUAUAUUCCUAAACUUUUUUAUUUAUUUUUU